AUACGUAGGGGGCGAGCGUUGUCCGGAAUUACUGGGCGUAAAGGGUGCGUAGGCGGCCGAUUAAGUCAGAUGUGAAAUACCACGGCUCAACCGUGGGGGUGCAUAUGAAACUGGUUGGCUUGAGUGCAGGAGAGGGAAGUGGAAUUCCUAGUGUAGCGGUGAAAUGCGUAGAGAUUAGGAGGAACACCAGUGGCGAAGGCGACUUUCUGGACUGUAACUGACGCUGAGGCACGAAAGCGUGGGGAGCAAACAGGAUUAGAUACCCUGGUAGUCCACGCCGUAAACGAUGGAUACUAGGUGUAGGGGGUAUCGACCCCCCCUGUGCCGGAGUUAACGCAAUAAGUAUCCCGCCUGGGGAGUACGGCCGCAAGGUUGAA
This 377-nucleotide ribosomal RNA is filed under the name uncultured bacterium. Its description in RNAcentral is "bacterial SSU rRNA". It matches the Rfam family "Bacterial small subunit ribosomal RNA", at positions 523 to 898 of the family's 1533-position model. The record is from RNAcentral.